UCCCAUAAACCGUGGCUCAGUUCAGAUCGUAGGCUGCAACUCGCCUAUGUGAAGGAGGAAUCGCUAGUAAUCGCAGGUCAGCAUACUGCGGUGAAUACGUUCCCGGGCCUUGUACACACCGCCCGUCACACCAUGGAAGUUGGCCACGCCCGAAGCCGUUACUCCAACCCUUGUGGAGGAGGACGUCGAAGGUGGGGCUGAUGACUGGGGUGAAGUCGUAACAAGGUAUCCGUACCGGAAGGUGCGGAUGGAUCACCUCCUAA
This 263-nucleotide ribosomal RNA is filed under the name uncultured Synechococcus sp. Its description in RNAcentral is "partial 16S ribosomal RNA". It matches the Rfam family "Bacterial small subunit ribosomal RNA", at positions 1272 to 1533 of the family's 1533-position model. Lineage: Bacteria; Bacillati; Cyanobacteriota; Cyanophyceae; Synechococcales; Synechococcaceae. The record is from RNAcentral.